This is a non-coding RNA of Oryctolagus cuniculus (rabbit), 653 nucleotides long. The record is from RefSeq and is a predicted model, not a curated record. NCBI's taxonomy places the organism in Eukaryota, Metazoa, Chordata, Mammalia, Lagomorpha, Leporidae.
GCUCUACAGACAUUUGAAUUGAUUUGAACUCCAGAGUCCUCACGGCAGUUGUAGAAGCAAAUCUUCUUUACGAGAGCCAGUUAAAGUAUUAAGUUGCACCACAACUAAUUAACGUCAAGAGGUAAAACUGAAUGACGGAAGAGAUGUCUCUCAAGAACAAACUGGAUGCCCAUGGUCUACUUCUUACCUUUAUAAGAAAAUGAAACCAGCAAUGCAUAUCCGUCGCAAAACACACCGGACACUGGAGCAAGGGAAAGGUUUAUUGGGGAACACCCUACAGACCGGAGAGAAGGGGCGGCAAAGGAAAAAAAGGAGUCUGUAAGAGAGAAGCAGAGAUGCGAGGAGCUAGCAAGGAGAGAAGAGAGCAGAGAAGAGCCGAGAGAGAGAGCCACGAGACCAGAGGAGGAGGCUAGAGAGAGGAACCGAGAGAGAAGAGUCAAGAGCCAAGAAAGAAGAACCAAGAGCCAAGAGAGCACGUGUUCAGGAACAGGCCCUUUUAAAACUGAGGGCGGACAGGGAAGCAGGAGCAGCGAAUCCCUUUAGGAUGGGGGUGGAGCCUGGUUCAGGUAGCUGGGCCAUGCAGCCACCUGGCUAAAAGUGUGCCAGUUUCCUAACAGAAUCAGUCUCAUUCACUGAAUGAAAUUCAUCUGGUC